This 649-nucleotide ribosomal RNA is filed under the name uncultured bacterium. RNAcentral's name for it is "bacterial SSU rRNA". It matches the Rfam family "Bacterial small subunit ribosomal RNA", at positions 171 to 840 of the family's 1533-position model. The record is from RNAcentral.
AGAUAAAAUACUUUUAUCGCAUGGUAGAAGUAUCAAAGCUUUUGCGGUACAGGAUGGACCCGCGUCUGAUUAGCUAGUUGGUAAGGUAACGGCUUACCAAGGCGACGAUCAGUAGCCGACCUGAGAGGGUGAUCGGCCACAUUGGAACUGAGACACGGUCCAAACUCCUACGGGAGGCAGCAGUGGGGAAUAUUGCACAAUGGGCGAAAGCCUGAUGCAGCAACGCCGCGUGAGCGAUGAAGGCCUUCGGGUCGUAAAGCUCUGUCCUCAAGGAAGAUAAUGACGGUACUUGAGGAGGAUUUUUUUGCUAACUACGUGCCAGCAGCCGCGGUAAUACGUAGGGGGCUAGCGUUAUCCGGAAUUACUGGGCGUAAAGGGUGCGUAGGUGGUUUCUUAAGUCAGAGGUGAAAGGCUACGGCUCAACCGUAGUAAGCCUUUGAAACUGGGGAACUUGAGUGCAGGAGAGGAGAGUGGAAUUCCUAGUGUAGCGGUGAAAUGCGUAGAUAUUAGGAGGAACACCAGUUGCGAAGGCGGCUCUCUGGACUGUAACUGACACUGAGGCACGAAAGCGUGGGGAGCAAACAGGAUUAGAUACCCUGGUAGUCCACGCCGUAAACGAUGAGUACUAGCUGUCGGAGGUUACCCCCUU